CUGCCCUGGAUAUGUUUUAUACCUUAAAGAUAUUGAAUUGUCUGUUGAAAAGUUUGAGAUGUUAGACAUGAAAAUGAUACUGGCCCUUUUAUUUUGAAGCCUGUGAUGGCAGAGGAAAACAGGAAACAGGAAGUAGGAAGAACUGUAAAAAAAGAUGUAAGGUGUGGUUGCAUGUGGGCAGUUUCUGCUGUGCAAUCUAAUUCAAUCCAUGGUGUGCAUCCUUCAGAAAGCAAUGGCUUUUCACUCCAAUUCAAUGUUGUCAUCUUGACUUAUCUGUGGUGUAUGAAGUCAUUAAAGGAGCAAGCCCGCUCUCUUACCUGACUCUUGAAAA
Long non-coding RNA from Paramormyrops kingsleyae, 331 nucleotides. RefSeq lists it as uncharacterized. The record is from RefSeq and is a predicted model, not a curated record. Lineage: Eukaryota; Metazoa; Chordata; Actinopteri; Osteoglossiformes; Mormyridae.